UUCCAUUGAAACUAUAAAUAUUACAACUAAAACUGCAUGCUUGCAGUUAAAACUGCUCUUUAAAAUAGUUUUUUUUUAAAUAAAAUUAGUUGCUUUUACGCUUAUGCACAAUAGCGGUCAGUUAAGCAGUAGAGUUCAAUUUUAUUUCCAUGAUUCAAAUCAUUAUAAUACAAAAUCCGAAUCAAUUGCUUAUAACUAAUUUCAAAUGCAAAUAUUAACUAAUUCACAUGUAAAUUGUGCAAAUAUUCAAAUAAUACAACAAUAUAUAUGUAAAAAAUACACUAGUGAUACCAAUUGAUUCAGCUAAGCAUAUUGUCUUAAUUAAUAACUAAAUGAACAUACUAUACCGAUUUGAUUUACAUUCACAUUUCUUUCACUUUUAUGCAUUCAAUAAAGUUUACAUAUCAUGUCCAAACUGAAAACAAUUCAAACAUUGUCUUUAAAUUAGCUUAAUUAACCUUUAAAUUAUGUUUUGUCGUAAUAUAGAUGUACGGGCCUAAAUUUGCCCGAUGCCCAUGACUCAACCAAAAACAAAAAUAAAUAAAAACCAAAUUUUCAAACCAAAAUAAACAGCCCAAUAAAAAACCCCAAACUCAAAUUUUAGCCCAAACCUUAAAACCACAAUCAGCCCAAUAACAAAUACAACCCAAACUAUCAAUCUAAUGCAAAAAAAUAUCAGCAGAACCCUAGGAACGUUCAGCCACUGCCCCGUGCCUUUUCGUCAUCAGUCGCCCUCCACGCGUCGUCUGACAUCUGAAACAAGCACAAUAGCAGAGAAAGAAGCAUGCGAGCGUAGAGAAAUAAAGAGCAAAAAACAAAAAAACUAAAAGGGUAACUAAUCAAAAAAACAGAAUACUCGUUUUAAAGGUGAUUUUUUUAUUUUGUGUGAAAAUUUCUGUCUCUUUAUCUUGUUUUUACUUUUGUUUCUCUUAGUUAUUUUAUUUUAUUUUAUUUCACUUACGAAAAUAAAAGGGAAAUAAAACUUACCGGAAAACCCCCAUGGUCGGUCGUCGGAGACUUCUUUCUCCAUCGGAGUUGAGCCCAAAAGGGGAGGUUGGGAAGUCCCUUUAUUUUCGGGCACUCGACCGAGGGAUUUGGGACCUUCAAAGGCACCACGAACAGAGGCUAGGUAGCCUAUUUCGCUUGUCGUCAGCCACUGAUUGUAAUGGUGGUGUGACAAACCACCGAGGGCGGCGAUGAGGGGUUCAGGACCCUAGCCGAGCUGAAGAGAAAAGGGGGUAGGGAGGCUGAGUUCUUUUAAAAAAUAAGCAGCAGAAAUCUGCCUACAAAAGGAAGAAACCCUUUUGUUUUCUUUAAAAGGUGAAACGACGCAGUGUAAAAGGGGGGGUCAUUUUCAAAGCCCGAAUGGGC
RNAcentral lists this long non-coding RNA (1371 nucleotides) under Gossypium barbadense (sea-island cotton). RNAcentral describes it as "long non-coding RNA (GBAR_LNC009512)". Lineage: Eukaryota; Viridiplantae; Streptophyta; Magnoliopsida; Malvales; Malvaceae. The record is from RNAcentral.